AUUGAACGCUGGCGGCAUGCCUUACACAUGCCAGUCGAACGGCAGCAUGAUCUAGCUUGCUAGAUUGAUGGCGAGUGGCGACCGGGUGAGUAAUACAUCGGAACGUGCCCUGUAGUGGGGGAUAACUAGUCGAAAGAUUAGCUAAUACCGCAUACGACCUGAGGGUGAAAGUGGGGGACCGCAAGGCCUCAUGCUAUAGGAGCGGCCGAUGUCUGAUUAGCUAGUUGGUGAGGUAAAGGCUCACCAAGGCGACGAUCAGUAGCUGGUCUGAGAGGAUGAUCAGCCACACUGGGACUGAGACACGGCCCAGACUCCUACGGGAGGCAGCAGUGGGGAAUUUUGGACAAUGGGCGAAAGCCUGAUCCAGCAAUGCCGCGUGUGUGAAGAAGGCCUUCGGGUUGUAAAGCACUUUUGUCCGGAAAGAAAUGGCUCUGGUUAAUACCUGGGGUCGAUGACGGUACCGGAAGAAUAAGGACCGGCUAACUACGUG
This 490-nucleotide ribosomal RNA is filed under the name uncultured bacterium. Its description in RNAcentral is "partial 16S ribosomal RNA". It matches the Rfam family "Bacterial small subunit ribosomal RNA", at positions 30 to 507 of the family's 1533-position model. The record is from RNAcentral.